Molecule: transfer RNA, 75 nt
Filed under: Teratoscincus microlepis (Small-scaled wonder gecko)
Lineage: Eukaryota; Metazoa; Chordata; Lepidosauria; Squamata; Sphaerodactylidae
Description: tRNA-Leu
Rfam family: tRNA
About the family: Transfer RNA (tRNA) molecules are approximately 80 nucleotides in length. Their secondary structure includes four short double-helical elements and three loops (D, anti-codon, and T loops). Further hydrogen bonds mediate the characteristic L-shaped molecular structure. tRNAs have two regions of fundamental functional importance: the anti-codon, which is responsible for specific mRNA codon recognition, and the 3' end, to which the tRNAs corresponding amino acid is attached (by aminoacyl-tRNA synthetases). tRNAs cope with the degeneracy of the genetic code in two manners: having more than one tRNA (with a specific anti-codon) for a particular amino acid; and 'wobble' base-pairing, i.e. permitting non-standard base-pairing at the 3rd anti-codon position.
Source: RNAcentral
AUUAGGGUGGCAGAGUCAGGUAAUUGCACAAGGCCUAAGCCCCUGUACCAGAAGGUUCAACUCCUCUUCCUAAUA